This 497-nucleotide ribosomal RNA is filed under the name uncultured bacterium. RNAcentral describes it as "partial 16S ribosomal RNA". It matches the Rfam family "Bacterial small subunit ribosomal RNA", at positions 28 to 507 of the family's 1533-position model. The record is from RNAcentral.
GAUGAACGCUGGCGGCGUGCCUAAUACAUGCAAGUAGAACGCUCAAGGACGGAGCUUGCUCUUUCCGGGUGAGUUGCGGACGGGUGAGUAACGCGUAGCUACCCUGUCUGGUCGCGGGGGAUAACUUAAUGCCACGAUAGCUAAUACCGCAUAAGAGUAAAUGUCACAUGAUAUCUACUUAAAAGGUGAAAUUGCACCACUACCAGUUGGAUCUGCGUUGUAUUAGCUAGGUGGUGAGUUAACGGCUAACCAAGGCGACGUGACCUAGCCGACCUGAGAGGCGGAGCGGCCACACUGGGACGGAGACACGGCCCAGAACACUACGGGUGGCAGCAGUAGGGAAUCUUUGGCGAAGGACGGAAGUCUGACCGAUCAACGCCGGGGGAGAGCAGAAGGUUUUCGGAUCGUAAAGCUCUGUUGUAAGAGAAGAACGAGUGUGAGAGUGGAAAGUUCACACUGUGACGGUAUCUGAACAGAAAGGGACGGCUAACUACGUG